AAUCAACGCUGGCGGCGUGCCUAACACAUGCAAGUCGAACGCGAAAGGGGCUUCGGCCCUGAGUAGAGUGGCGUCCGGGUGAGUAACGCGUGGGUAAUCUACCUUCGGGUGGGAAGUAACCAGUCGAAAGAUUGGCUAAUACCGCAUAAUGCAGCGGCACGACAUCGUGACAGUUGUUAAAGGAGCAAUCCGCCUGAAGAGGAGCCUGCGUCUGAUUAGC
Molecule: ribosomal RNA, 220 nt
Filed under: uncultured bacterium
Lineage: Bacteria
Description: partial 16S ribosomal RNA
Rfam family: Bacterial small subunit ribosomal RNA
Source: RNAcentral